Molecule: ribosomal RNA, 433 nt
Filed under: uncultured bacterium
Lineage: Bacteria
Description: partial 16S ribosomal RNA
Rfam family: Bacterial small subunit ribosomal RNA
Source: RNAcentral
AGCGAACGCUGGCGGCAGGCUUAACACAUGCAAGUCGAGCGGGCCUUUCGGGGUCAGCGGCGGACGGGUGAGUAACGCGUGGGAACGUGCCCUCUGGUUCGGAAUAACUCAGGGAAACUUGAGCUAAUACCGGAUACGCCCUUUUGGGGAAAGGCUUGCUGCCGGAGGAUCGGCCCGCGUCUGAUUAGCUAGUUGGUGAGGUAAAGGCUCACCAAGGCGACGAUCAGUAGCUGGUCUGAGAGGAUGAUCAGCCACACUGGGACUGAGACACGGCCCAGACUCCUACGGGAGGCAGCAGUGGGGAAUAUUGGACAAUGGGCGCAAGCCUGAUCCAGCCAUGCCGCGUGAGUGAUGAAGGCCUUAGGGUUGUAAAGCUCUUUUAUCCGGGACGAUAAUGACGGUACCGGAGGAAUAAGCCCCGGCUAACUUCGUG